RNAcentral lists this ribosomal RNA (422 nucleotides) under uncultured bacterium. Its description in RNAcentral is "bacterial SSU rRNA". It matches the Rfam family "Bacterial small subunit ribosomal RNA", at positions 335 to 751 of the family's 1533-position model. The record is from RNAcentral.
ACUCCUACGGGAGGCAGCAGUGGGGAAUAUUGCACAAUGGGCGCAAGCCUGAUGCAGCCAUGCCGCGUGUGUGAAGAAGGGCCUUCGGGUUGUAAAGCACUUUCAGUCGUGAGGAAGGUAGUGUAGUUAAUAGCUGCAUUAUUUGACGUUAGCGACAGAAGAAGCACCGGCUAACUCCGUGCCAGCAGCCGCGGUAAUACGGAGGGUGCGAGCGUUAAUCGGAAUUACUGGGCGUAAAGCGCAUGCAGGUGGUUGUUAAGUCAGAUGUGAAAGCCCGGGGCUCAACCUCGGAAUAGCAUUUGAAACUGGCAGACUAGAGUACUGUAGAGGGGGUAGAAUUUCAGGUGUAGCGGUGAAAUGCGUAGAGAUCUGAAGGAAUACCGGUGGCGAAGGCGGCCCCUGGACAGAUACUGACACUCAGA